CCGCUGCUUGCCGGGUCCCGGCCCGGCGACGCGCGCUCACACCCUCCUCCCGAGCCGCCCUCACGCCGAGCGCUGCGGACGGGGGCGCGCAACCUGCCGCCGGCCGGGACCCUGCGGCGAGUGCCGGAACCCGGCCGGGCGGGGCCUCCCGCGGCCCGGCCGCUUUAUUGGGUCACCGGCCUCGCCCACCGCCCUGCCAGCCGCAGCCAUCUCGGCGGGCGCGCCGCUCGCAGCCAGCGCCCCAUCCCCAGGCCUGCACGUACGUCGUCGGCGAUCCGGGGCCGGGGGCGGCUCCGAGGUCGUCGGGGCCGGGGUCCCACCUCCUCUUGGAGGAAGCGCCGCCUCCCCACCCGCCCGGGGCCCUCGCCAAGUGGCUGCUAACAAAGCCCAGGGCCCGGCUGCGGGAUGGUUGACUGACAAAGUCAUGCCUGCCUAGCCAGCUUCCUCGUGCAGCACGGUGAAGGCUGGGGCGCCGGGUUUUUACUCCCACGUCCUGCCAACUCGAGCUGACAAGGCGGGCAAUCCACCAGCGGGAGCGUUGGCAGGCCCGGGGUCAGAUCCUGAUUCAGCCAGUUAAUUGCUGACACACUCAGAAUGACAAAGGAGUUAGAAAU
Molecule: long non-coding RNA, 614 nt
Filed under: Homo sapiens (human)
Lineage: Eukaryota; Metazoa; Chordata; Mammalia; Primates; Hominidae
Description: HSALNT0247788
Source: RNAcentral